UAGAGUUUGAUCCUGGCUCAGAACGAACGCUGGCGGCGUGCCUAACACAUGCAAGUCGAACGUGAUCCGGAGCUUGCUCCGGUGAAAGUGGCGCACGGGUGAGUAACGCGUGGAUAAUCUGCCUGAUGCUCUGGGAUAACAUCUCGAAAGGGGUGCUAAUACCGGAUAAGCCCACGGGGUCUUCGGACCUUGCGGGAAAAGAGGGGGACCUUCGGGCCUCUUGACAUCGGAUGAGUCCGCGUCCCAUUAGCUAGUUGGUGGGGUAAAGGCCUACCAAGGCGACGAUGGGUAGCUGGUCUGAGAGGAUGAUCAGCCACACUGGAACUGAGACACGGUCCAGACUCCUACGGGAGGCAGCAGUGGGGAAUUUUGCGCAAUGGGGGAAACCCUGACGCAGCAACGCCGCGUGAGUGAUGAAGGCCUUCGGGUCGUAAAGCUCUGUCAGAGGGAAAGAAAUGUGGGCAGCUAAUAUCUGUUCCACUUGACGGUACCCUCAGAGGAAGCACCGGCUAACUCCGUGCCAGCAGCCGCGGUAAUACGGAGGGUGCGAGCGUUGUUCGGAAUUAUUGGGCGUAAAGCGCGUGUAGGCGGUUUGCUCAGUCUGAUGUGAAAGCCCUGGGCUCAACCUGGGAAGUGCAUUGGAUACUGGCAGACUUGAGAU
This 661-nucleotide ribosomal RNA is filed under the name uncultured bacterium. Its description in RNAcentral is "bacterial SSU rRNA". It matches the Rfam family "Bacterial small subunit ribosomal RNA", at positions 1 to 648 of the family's 1533-position model. The record is from RNAcentral.